This 174-nucleotide ribosomal RNA is filed under the name uncultured bacterium. Its description in RNAcentral is "partial 16S ribosomal RNA". It matches the Rfam family "Bacterial small subunit ribosomal RNA", at positions 338 to 524 of the family's 1533-position model. The record is from RNAcentral.
CCUACGGGAGGCAGCAGUAGGGAAUUUUCGGCAAUGGACGAAAGUCUGACCGAGCAACGCCGCGUGAACGAAGAAGUAUUUCGGUAUGUAAAGUUCUUUUGUUUGGGAAGAAAAUAAAUUGACUGUACCAAACGAAUAAGCUCCGGCUAACUACGUGCCAGCAGCCGCGGUAAU